UUUAAUGAUGAAUCAUUACAACAUUAUCACGACGGUCAACAUAAGGAAUUUAUAUUGAUGACCAUCGCCUGUGACAAGGCAUUGAUCUGAAA
Molecule: small nucleolar RNA, 92 nt
Filed under: Penicillium arizonense
Lineage: Eukaryota; Fungi; Ascomycota; Eurotiomycetes; Eurotiales; Aspergillaceae
Description: Small nucleolar RNA snR73
Rfam family: Small nucleolar RNA snR73
Source: Rfam by way of RNAcentral